AGUGAAUAGAUACCCAGGUAGUCCACGCUGUAAACGAUGAGUGCUGGACGUUGGCGGGUUUACCUGCCGGUGUCGCAGCUAACGCGUUAAGCACUCCGCCUGGGGAGUACGGCCGCAAGGUUAAAACUCAAAGGAAUUGACGGGGGCCCGCACAAGCGGUGGAGCAUGUGGUUUAAAUUCGACGCAACGCGCAGAACCUUACCAGCCCUUGACAUGGGCGGACGGGGUCCAGAGAUGGACUCUUUCUCGCAAGAGACCGCUACACAGGUGCUGCAUGGCUGUCGUCAGCUCGUGUCGUGAGA
RNAcentral lists this ribosomal RNA (302 nucleotides) under uncultured bacterium. Its description in RNAcentral is "bacterial SSU rRNA". It matches the Rfam family "Bacterial small subunit ribosomal RNA", at positions 773 to 1072 of the family's 1533-position model. The record is from RNAcentral.